AAAGCGCAGCUUCAAAGAAACCAGAUUUAACACUCACGGCAAUGUUUUGGUUAAUAGAAAAACUACACAUACUACAGGAGUUGAAAUUAAUGGAAGCAGGCAGCUUUCUGAACUGGUGAAGACAAGACGUGCGGCAACAGCACGUGCGAUUGCCCGAGUGCUCUGAUUGAGGAGAACGAAGCUAACCCACGCCCCCUCCGACACGUGGGCAGCAGCCGGAUGCAUUUUGUCACCUACACUUGACGAGUGCAAUGUGGAUCAGCACUGUGUAUGGAGAUGAUCAGCACAUUUUUUUCUACGUCUCUGUGCAGGCGCCAUCAAUCAGCCAGCAGAGGUCGUAGUUGCAUCAGUUUUAUGAGAGUCCCUAUCCGGCUUAAUAUCCCACCCUUAUAUGAACAACAGGCAAUUGUUGUUCAUGUGCCGGCAGGCAGAGCUGAGACUCGAUAUGAUGUAUUCAAGAUCACAGCUUUGGUGUUCUAGCGUGUGUUUUUACCACUGCGCCACCUGAGCGGCUUGUGGAUUUCAUUUUGAAUGGACAUUAUUUAAGGGCACUUGGGUGGCGCAGCGGUCUAUUAUGCUCAUUUACCAGGUUCUGAUCUCAGUGGUGCUAUCAGCUGUUUAGGCAUCUAGGCAGACAGCAGAUUGGCUAUGUCUGGUGGAUGGGGGAGGGGGGUGAUCAAAGCACUGAUGAAUAGGUGCCCUGUCUUGCCUUGCACCCAAUGUUUCCUGGUGCAUCCUGACCAGGAUAAAGUGGUUAAUGAAAAUAAAAUUUAAAAAAAAAAUGCCAUUUACCCAUCAAUCUACACUUAA
Trichomycterus rosablanca is the source of this 810-nucleotide long non-coding RNA. RefSeq lists it as uncharacterized. Lineage: Eukaryota; Metazoa; Chordata; Actinopteri; Siluriformes; Trichomycteridae. The record is from RefSeq and is a predicted model, not a curated record. The transcript is spliced from 3 exons.